ACCCACACAGCCUCCUCCUCUUCCAUCAUGGCUCCGUCGGCAGAAAGGCAAGGAUACUGGGGGCGGCCGACCUCAACACUGGACUGGUGCGAAGAAAAUUAUGUCGUCUCUUUUUACAUCGCGGAAUUCUGCUGGACCCAGGAGAGACAUCAGUGCAGAAGAAGGUUCCUUGGACCUCUUUGUUGAAGGAGGAUCAGCAGCAAGGGAGCUGUCUUCCUGCUGUACAGAAACAGCAGCAUUGAUUCAUUGCAUUGGCUUUGCAUAGAUACAGGGAACACUGUCAGCAACCUGAUCAUGAUUCUUCCUCCCAUUUAUGGGGCCAUCCAGACGAUUCGUGAUGGCCUCGAGCUUCGCUACAUCUGCUCUUUCCUCGGACUUGCAGCUGUUGGUGUUGGUUCCUGGUGCUUCCACAUGACACUGCUAUAUGAGAUGCAGUUACUGGAUGAGUUGCCGAUGAUUUACAGUACAUGCGUCUUUGUCUACUGCCUAUACGAGUGUUUCAAACAAGAGAAGGGCAUCAGCUUAUUUCCUAUUGCAUUAUUAUUCAUCUUUAGUGUCUCAGUCACUGUGGUAUACUUACAGUGGAAGGAGCCAGUAUUUCACCAGGUCAUGUAUGGUGCUCUAGUAGCUUGCCUAGUGAUGCGAUCUAUCUUCAUUGUUACAUGGGUGUACCCAUGGCUCAGACCGCUGUGUUACACCUCCUUAGGAGUCUUUAUGUUAGGGUUCCUACUGUGGAACAUUGACAAUAUCUUCUGUGACAUAUUAAGAGCCAGAAGGCAAACACUACCCCCUGGUGUUGGAGUAGUCACACAGUUCCAUGCCUGGUGGCACAUCUUUACAGGCCUUGGAUCCUACCUGCACAUACUUCUCAGCCUGCAGAUCAGGUCAACCUACCUCAAGUACAGACCAAAUGUAAAGUUUCUUUGUGGAGUUUGGCCCACGUUGCACAUUGAACCUCAGAAGACAAGUUGAAAUGAAAUGGAAGGGGAUCAACUGAAGAAUGAUGACUGCCAUAUCCAGACACCUUCGGCACAGGGACCUGCCAGUACCAGCUGCUGAGAACUCCACACAGCUAGGGGACAGGUAGACCCCAAGAUCGAGAGGGACCCAGCUGCAGACAGAUGGCGGACAAGGGUGCCGCCAUAUAUCCAAUCCAUACCGGAAGUCCUAACUGGAAGUUGGUCUGUGUAUUAUUCGCCGAAGAGGAAGAAGACCACGGAGAAGACGAAGAGAAGAAUGCGAACAAUACACGCAUGACUAGAGAAAGAAAAGAAAGAAAGAACGAUGCACCCCUCUAUUUUGAGUGACGAAGCCAGUCUGGGGCACACGACCCUUUCACCAUCCGAGUUUGGGUGUCCUCUCUGCCCCAAAUUUAAAACCAAAAAUGAGAGCGCGAUCCAGAGGCACCUGAAAAAACAUACGGAAAAUGCAGUUCAUUUCCAUGAUUAUCAUGGAGGCAGAUGAGCCACCUGCUGUCACAGCAUACAGCUGCAGCUGUGCUGCAGGCAAAGGGUUAACCAUAUGACAGCUUUAUUACCGUAUAUCAAACAGCACAUUACCUGCAACUUGGCCUUCCAACAGUCCCACCUGCACCAGUGAACCACAGAGGUAGCAUCGGCCAAGGACCCAGGGAGUCCAUGCAGAGGCUGUGACUGACCUUGGGUAAGACUAAGGUGAGGUCCACACUGUAUCCUGCUUAUACUGGACUCCUACCAGAUUCACACAAAUGACCUCUGGAGCAAAACUGAGCCACAUCCACCCUCGCCCAUUACUGUGCCACAUCCUAGAGGGGAUGUCCACCCUAGAGAUGGUCCCCUCACAGUUUGGCCUUGUACCUUAUGGGGUUGUCAUGGAAAUGAGAGAAAGUAAUCUCGCCAUAACCGGAGAUGACUCAUUCAUUCUGGAGUUGCCACUCAGGAUCAGCGCCUAAAAUAUUUCAACAGUUGAAGAGGAGUUUUGAGUUGGGCCAAACAGUGUCGAAGGUAAGUCCUGACUAACAAACAACACUAUGGAACUGAAAAAAGCACUGUGUAAACCUAAAAGUUUGUUCAACUACUUUUUUCCCUUUAGCGACGUUCUUGGAUAGGUGGCUAAACGUCCGUUAGCUAGCAUGCUAUGACUCAAAUGAGUUUAACAUGUAAUGUCCUAACUUGCCAAUGUGGACUCACUAAUUAUGUUAGAACAACUGUCAGACGAUCGACGCUCGUAUCUAGAGGUUUUUGUUGUUUUUUUCCAAAUAUAGGUUUGACAACAAGUAAUUCUCAGGUAGUCACGAAGAAGUACUACAUUACCCAUAAUCCCAACGUCUACCAGCGGGGUCUGUGAUUGACUAAACUCUUUUUUACCCGCGAACGGUGUUUCCGUUUCCGCGAGGAGGCUCGCAUGUUGGCUAACGUCAUGACGAUUCGUAAUGCAUUUUAUGGCACAGUGAGUAUGAUUUCUUAUGCUAUAUGUACACAUACUAUAGAACAUAGAACAACACAUACUAUAACACAGUGCCAUGUAGUGUUGGGCAAAUUAAUCUUCAUGAAGCAUUGAAGCUUUUCAUCAAAUUGGUUCACUCAAGGGCAAAGCUUCUUGAUGCUUCAUUUGCUCUACUAAGCCAUCUACUGGACAAAAAAAGUUAUUACAAUUAGUGGUUUGUAUAUAUACUUUUUAAACUGAAUUGAAUAAAUCUACUCUCCAUUAUAGUAACAGUAAAGAUAUGAUGCACCUAUAUUAAUAUAGUGUGUAUUUUUAAAGAUAUAUUUUUUGGGGGCAUUUUGCCUUUAAUGGACAGGACAGGGAAGCGUGAGGGGGGUAGAGAGAGAAGGGUGGAUGACAUGCAGCAAAGGGCCACAGGCUGGAUUCGAACCCGGGCCGCUGCGGCAACAACCUUGUACAUGGGGCGCCUGCUCUACCACUAAGCCACUGACGCCCCAAUAUAGUGUGUAUUUUUUACACACUAUAUUAUUUUUGUAUUAUUGUAUUUUGUAGAUUUAAACCUUAACUUUUUGAAAUUACAAUGGUCACACUCUCCAAACUAUCCAAACUAUCCAAACUCUCAACUGUCAAAAACUGUCCUCUAUCAAAACCACCCAUUUUAAAUGAAACCUAUGGGGUUUAUAUAGCUGUCGAAUACUCGCGCCAAGAUCUGAACAACUUCCCGAACCAGUCACGUGGUACAGCCGGCCAGCGAGGCUUCGGACGUCACCAAUGACGUCACUCGUCUGAAAUGACACAAGCCUCGAUACGCGCAUCGUGGAAACACUUCCUGGAUUACUCGACACACGCUUCGAAGCCUCGGCACGGCAAGUCACAUCACUAGUGCCAUGCAUACGUUAGCAACGGCCAUCAUAAUGCCAAACGUUUAACUGUGUGACAGUUAGUGAGCAACUCUGUAUGUUGAAUCCGUGUAUGGUUCGUUCUUUCAUUAUUCCGUUUCAAAACAAAAUCAGAAAAAUAAGCAAAUGGGUCCGUUUUUCCGCCUUGAAACCAAAACGGAAAAACCAAAAAUGAAAAAACGGCGUUUUUCUGUAGGAGAACAGAGUGGAGACUAGCAGAGUCACAAGCAGCUGCAGUUUUCACAGUGGGACUGUUGAGUCACAUUAUUAAGAUUUAGAUUUCAGAAAACAACCAUGUAGAUUCCCCAUAUGCGGUUAGCUUAUCCAAAUAACGCCUGUUUGUAAAUCUGCUGCAACGUUUUCGGACAUGUGAAAAGCCGUGACCGGCUGGUGUUUCGGGUUAACAGGUGACCGGUUCAUGGACGCGCGUUGUCAUGGCAACGGCAGAAACAACUGAGCUGGCUGUCCAACAUGGCGGAGUCUGAAGCGUAAAUAACAUCAUAAACUUACCCAUCUCCAAAUAAACAUUCCACAAACAUCAUCAUUUCAUUUCCUAUACUGUUUCCCCCGUCUUCUGUCUAAAUCUAAAAAUCCAAGUUAAUAACAAACUGACACCGUUGUGGCUUAGAUCAUUUAAUUAAUUACUGAGAAGUGAAUAUAUGCACAGAACAUUUCUAAUGCUAUUUAUUUAUUCUCAACACAACAUCAGUGUUGUUUUGAGCACACUGUUCAUUGAUCAUCAGUGUCAUAAAGCAACUGCAUUGGGAACACUUAACACUCACUCCUAAAUAUAAUCUUGUGCCGCUUUGACUUUUAAUGAUAAAAUAGCAAAGACCGCUUUGAGUAGCUUGAUCUUCAUUUCUGAUCCAUCACCUAAUAAGUUCACCUUGACAAAGUGCCUCGAAUUAGACAAUAACUAGCCUCACUCUUAUGCUCUUUCUGGAUGUCACUUACGGGGAGUUUGAUGGAUGCGGAAAAGGCAGUGCCAAAAUGGCUGAUUGGUGCCAGGGACAGGGGACGCAACCGUGCCAUGAGAGCACAUGGAGGAGAGCAAAACCGGGCCGUUGGAACAGGGAGGACACAGGAGUAGUACAAGAAGACCAUCCACAUAUGCACACCCACACAACAUUCUGUGCAUUACACCGUUUUUGUUAUAUUUACAGUUGUUGAAUAAACUGUUUUCCUUAGAAAUUUGUUUGGCCUCUCUCCUUUUUUUCCCCUUUUUUACAACCAUUGACCCAAGGCUGCUAUAUUAGCUUUUUAGUCUUCUAAUCAUUGUUUUACUCUUCAGUUAGACUUCAUAAUGUAUCAUCACCCUUAUUC
Molecule: RNA transcript, 4646 nt
Organism: Epinephelus moara (kelp grouper)
Lineage: Eukaryota; Metazoa; Chordata; Actinopteri; Perciformes; Serranidae
Gene: acer3
Gene name: alkaline ceramidase 3
Exons: 19
Source: RefSeq, a predicted model, not a curated record